This 284-nucleotide unclassified non-coding RNA is filed under the name uncultured Cortinariaceae. RNAcentral describes it as "sequence contains ITS2". The stretch from base 1 to 52 matches the Rfam family "5.8S ribosomal RNA", at positions 103 to 154 of the family's 154-position model. Lineage: Eukaryota; Fungi; Basidiomycota; Agaricomycetes; Agaricales; Cortinariaceae. The record is from RNAcentral.
AACGCACCUUGCGCUCCUUGGUAUUCCGAGGAGCAUGCCUGUUUGAGUGUCAUUAAUAUAAUCAACCUUUUCUUGUUUUGAGAAUGGUUUGGAUGUGGGGGUUUGCUGGCCUCUCUCAAAAGGUUCAGCUCCCCUGAAAUGCAUUAGCAGAACAACCUUUGCUCAUUGGUGUGAUAACUAUCUACGCUUAUGAAUACGGAGGGGCAGUUCAGCUUUCUAACGGUCUUUGGACAAUUCAUCAUUAAUGUGACCUCAAAUCAGGUAGGACUACCCGCUGAACUUAA